RNAcentral lists this long non-coding RNA (488 nucleotides) under Rattus norvegicus (Norway rat). RNAcentral's name for it is "long non-coding RNA NONRATT000109". The record is from RNAcentral. Lineage: Eukaryota; Metazoa; Chordata; Mammalia; Rodentia; Muridae.
CCCCUUCAAGCUCUCCCAGUUCUUUCUCUGAUUCCUUCAACGGGGGUUCUAUUCUCAGUUCAGUGGUUUGCUGCUGGUAUUCGCCUCUGUAUUUGCUGUAUUCUGGCUGUGUCUCUCAGGAGCGAUCUACAUCCGGCUCCUGUCGGUCUGCACUUCUUUGCUUCAUCCAUCUUGUCUAAUUGGGUGGCUGUAUAUGUAUGGGCCACAUGUGGGGCAGGCUUUGAAUGGGUGUUCCUUCAGUCUCUGUUUUAAUCUUUGCCUCUCUCUUCCCUGCCAAGGGUAUUCUUGUUCCCCUUUUAAAGAAGGAGUGAAGCAUUCACGUUUUGAUCAUCCGUCUUGAGUUUCAUUUGUUCUAGGCAUCUAGGGUAAUUCAAUCAUUUGGGCUAAUAGCCACUUAUCAAUGAGUGCAUACCAUGUAUGUCUUUCUGUGAUUGGGUUAGCUCACUCAGGAUGAUGUUUUCCAGUUCCAACCAUUUGCCUACGAAUUU